This 134-nucleotide small nucleolar RNA is filed under the name Mustela putorius furo (domestic ferret). Its description in RNAcentral is "Small nucleolar RNA SNORA70 (ENSMPUG00000021197.1)". It matches the Rfam family "Small nucleolar RNA SNORA70". From Rfam's summary of the family: snoRNA U70 seems to be exclusive to mammals and is a member of the H/ACA class of snoRNA which contain H (ANANNA) and ACA box motifs. H/ACA box snoRNAs are involved in the conversion of uridines to pseudouridines (5-ribosyluracil) a constituent of structural RNAs (transfer, ribosomal, small nuclear, and small nucleolar). The record is from Rfam by way of RNAcentral. Lineage: Eukaryota; Metazoa; Chordata; Mammalia; Carnivora; Mustelidae.
AUGUUCUCUAUUUUAAUAACUUGUGCUCUUCCCCACGGGGGCCCAGUGUACAAUGGCUGCACGCAGUAGCUUCCUUGAUAGUGUAUGUAGCCUGCUGAUUGAAUGGGCUGUCCCAAGGAACCUUGGAGAUAGCC